RNAcentral lists this ribosomal RNA (469 nucleotides) under Salmonella enterica. Its description in RNAcentral is "bacterial SSU rRNA". It matches the Rfam family "Bacterial small subunit ribosomal RNA", at positions 1 to 468 of the family's 1533-position model. Lineage: Bacteria; Pseudomonadati; Pseudomonadota; Gammaproteobacteria; Enterobacterales; Enterobacteriaceae. The record is from RNAcentral. RNAcentral also lists the same sequence under 1 other name.
AAAUUGAAGAGUUUGAUCAUGGCUCAGAUUGAACGCUGGCGGCAGGCCUAACACAUGCAAGUCGAACGGUAACACAGAGAGCUUGCUCUCGGGUGACGAGUGGCGGACGGGUGAGUAAUGUCUGGGAAACUGCCUGAUGGAGGGGGAUAACUACUGGAAACGGUGGCUAAUACCGCAUAACGUCGCAAGACCAAAGAGGGGGACCUUCGGGCCUCUUGCCAUCAGAUGUGCCCAGAUGGGAUUAGCUAGUUGGUGAGGUAACGGCUCACCAAGGCGACGAUCCCUAGCUGGUCUGAGAGGAUGACCAGCCACACUGGAACUGAGACACGGUCCAGACUCCUACGGGAGGCAGCAGUGGGGAAUAUUGCACAAUGGGCGCAAGCCUGAUGCAGCCAUGCCGCGUGUAUGAAGAAGGCCUUCGGGUUGUAAAGUACUUUCAGCGGGGAGGAAGGUGUUGUGGUUAAUAACC